RNAcentral lists this ribosomal RNA (425 nucleotides) under uncultured bacterium. Its description in RNAcentral is "partial 16S ribosomal RNA". It matches the Rfam family "Bacterial small subunit ribosomal RNA", at positions 354 to 796 of the family's 1533-position model. The record is from RNAcentral.
GUGGGGAAUAUUGGGCAAUGGGCGAAAGCCUGACCCAGCAACGCCGCGUGAAGGAAGAAGGUUUUCGGAUCGUAAACUUCUAUCCUUGGUGAAGAUAAUGACGGUAGCCAAGAAGGAAGCCCCGGCUAACUACGUGCCAGCAGCCGCGGUAAUACGUAGGGGGCAAGCGUUGUCCGGAAUGAUUGGGCGUAAAGGGCGCGUAGGCGGCCCGGUAAGUCUGAAGUGAAAGUCCUGCUUUUAAGGUGGGAAUUGCUUUGGAUACUGUCGGACUUGAGUGCAGGAGAGGUAAGCGGAAUUCCCGGUGUAGCGGUGAAAUGCGUAGAGAUCGGGAGGAACACCAGUGGCGAAGGCGGCUUACUGGACUGUAACUGACGCUGAGGCGCGAAAGUGUGGGGAGCAAACAGGAUUAGAAACCCUGGUAGUCC